CCUACGGGUGGCUGCAGUGAGGAAUCUUGCACAAUGGGCGCAAGCCUGAAGCAGCCACGUAGCGUGAAGGAUGACUGCCCUCCGGGUGGUAAACUUCUUUUAUAGAGGAAUAAAGUGAGGCAAGUGUGCCUUUAUGUAUGUCUUAUAUGAAUCAGGAUCGGCUAACUACGUGCCAGCAGCCGCGGUAAUACGGAGGAUCCGAGCGUUAUCCGGAUGUAUUGGGUAUAAAGGGGGCGUAGAUGGGUUUUUAAGACAGUGGUGAAAGUGGGCGGUUCAACAGUAAAACUGCAAGUGAAACUGGCAGGCUUGAGUACAGUUGAGGUAGGCGGAAUUCGUGGUGUAGGGGUGAAAUGCUUAGAUAUCAGGAAGAACUCCGAUUGCGAAGGCAGGUUACUAAACCGCCACUGACAUUGAGGCUCGAAAGUGUGGGUAGCAAACAGGAUUAGAUACCCGUGUAGUC
This 460-nucleotide ribosomal RNA is filed under the name uncultured bacterium. Its description in RNAcentral is "partial 16S ribosomal RNA". It matches the Rfam family "Bacterial small subunit ribosomal RNA", at positions 338 to 795 of the family's 1533-position model. The record is from RNAcentral.